This 464-nucleotide ribosomal RNA is filed under the name uncultured bacterium. RNAcentral describes it as "bacterial SSU rRNA". It matches the Rfam family "Bacterial small subunit ribosomal RNA", at positions 37 to 518 of the family's 1533-position model. The record is from RNAcentral.
UGGCGGCGUGCCUAACACAUGCAAGUCGAGCGAGGAGAUUCCUUCGGGAUGAUCCUAGCGGCGGACGGGUGAGUAACACGUGGGCAACCUGCCUCAUAGAGAGGAAUAGCCUUCCGAAAGGGAGAUUAAUACCUCAUAACAUUGCAGUUUCGCAUGAAACAGCAAUUAAAGGAGCAAUCCGCUAUGAGAUGGGCCCGCGGCGCAUUAGCUAGUUGGUGAGGUAACGGCUCACCAAGGCGACGAUGCGUAGCCGACCUGAGAGGGUGAUCGGCCACAUUGGGACUGAGACACGGCCCAGACUCCUACGGGAGGCAGCAGUGGGGAAUAUUGCACAAUGGGGGAAACCCUGAUGCAGCAACGCCGCGUGAGUGAUGACGGCCUUCGGGUUGUAAAGCUCUGUCUUCAGGGACGAUAAUGACGGUACCUGAGGAGGAAGCCACGGCUAACUACGUGCCAGCCGCCGC